UGAGACUCCUCCUUAGCUGGCUUCGUGUUCUGCCCGCUGGACUGAAUUAACUUUGUUACCCUUUGGGUCCAAGAGCCUUACCUCUGUGCAGCGGUGUUGUAAAAGUGAGAGACUGGCGACAAAGUCCCUACAGGGGAGAUGGAGGAACUAGAGCAAGGCCUGUUGAUGCAGCCAUGGGCAUGGUUACAACUUGCUGAGAACUCACUCUUGGCCAAGGCUUCUAUCACCAAGCAUGGUUAUGCCUUGCUGAUUUCGGAUCUUCAACAGGUGUGGCAUGAACAGGUGGACACUUUGGAGGUCAGCCAGCGAGCCAAGGAGCUGAACAAGCGCCUCACCGCUCCCCCUGCAGCUUUUCUCCAUCACUUGGAUGAAGUGC
This 376-nucleotide long non-coding RNA is filed under the name Rattus norvegicus (Norway rat). Its description in RNAcentral is "long non-coding RNA NONRATT030175". The record is from RNAcentral. Lineage: Eukaryota; Metazoa; Chordata; Mammalia; Rodentia; Muridae.